AUUGAACGCUGGCGGCAUGCCUUACACAUGCAAGUCGAACGGUAACGGGCCUUCGGGUGCCGACGAGUGGCGAACGGGUGAGUAAUGUAUCGGAACGUACCUUUCAGUGGGGGAUAACGUAGCGAAAGUUACGCUAAUACCGCAUAUUCUGUGCGCAGGAAAGCAGGGGAUCGCAAGACCUUGCGCUGAUUGAGCGGCCGAUAUCAGAUUAGCUAGUUGGUGAGGUAAAGGCUCACCAAGGCGACGAUCUGUAGCGGGUCUGAGAGGAUGAUCCGCCACACUGGAACUGAGACACGGUCCCGACUCCUACGGGGGGCAGCAGUGAGGAAUAUUGGGCAAUGGGCGAAAGCCUGACCCAGCAACGCCGCGUGGAGGAUGAAGGCUUUAGGGUUGUAAACUCCUUUUGUGGGGGAAAAGAAUGGAUGGUACCCCAAGAAUAAGUCACGGCUAACUACGUG
Molecule: ribosomal RNA, 458 nt
Filed under: uncultured bacterium
Lineage: Bacteria
Description: bacterial SSU rRNA
Rfam family: Bacterial small subunit ribosomal RNA
Source: RNAcentral